GAGUUUGAUCUUGGCUCAGAUUGAACGCUGGCGGCAUGCCUUACACAUGCAAGUCGAACGGCAGCAUGAUCUAGCUUGCUAGAUUGAUGGCGAGUGGCGAACGGGUGAGUAAUACAUCGGAACGUGCCCUGUAGUGGGGGAUAACUAGUCGAAAGAUUAGCUAAUACCGCAUACGACCUGAGGGUGAAAGUGGGGGACCGCAAGGCCUCAUGCUAUAGGAGCGGCCGAUGUCUGAUUAGCUAGUUGGUGGGGUAAAGGCCCACCAAGGCGACGAUCAGUAGCUGGUCUGAGAGGACGAUCAGCCACACUGGGACUGAGACACGGCCCAGACUCCUACGGGAGGCAGCAGUGGGGAAUUUGGACAAUGGGCGAAAGCCUGAUCCAGCAAUGCCGCGUGUGUG
RNAcentral lists this ribosomal RNA (401 nucleotides) under uncultured microorganism. RNAcentral describes it as "bacterial SSU rRNA". It matches the Rfam family "Bacterial small subunit ribosomal RNA", at positions 9 to 407 of the family's 1533-position model. The record is from RNAcentral.